CGCAUACGUAAUAGGGUUUUUUAUUUCUCCACCCAAACAAAAGAGCGAGGUGUAAACCUCUAAAUAAUACACGGGACAAGACCUGUAAAACAUGUGCAUAAUAACACGUAGCAUGGAAGCCGAUACAACAGCACAGGUACUCACAGGACCAACGGACAUGGGGACAAUAACACGUAGCAUGGAAGCCGAUACAACAGCACAGGUACUCACAGGACCAACGGACAUGGGGACAAUAACACGUAGCAUGGAAGCCGAUACAACAGCACAGGUACUCACAGGACCAACGGACAUGGGGACAAUAACACGUAGCAUGGAAGCCGAUACAACAGCACAGGUACUCACAGGACCAACGGACAUGGGGACAAUAACACGUAGCAUGGAAGCCGAUACAACAGCACAGGUACUCACAGGACCAACGGACAUGGGGACAAUAACACGUAGCAUGGAAGCCGAUACAACAGCACAGGUACUCACAGGACCAACGGACAUGGGGACAAUAACACGUAGCAUGGAAGCCGAUACAACAGCACAGGUACUCACAGGACCAACGGACAUGGGGACAAUAACACGUAGCAUGGAAGCCGAUACAACAGCACAGGUACUCACAGGACCAACGGACAUGGGGACAAUAACACGUAGCAUGGAAGCCGAUACAACAGCACAGGUACUCACAGGACCAACGGACAUGGGGACAAUAACACGUAGCAUGGAAGCCGAUACAACAGCACAGGUACUCACAGGACCAACGGACAUGGGGACAAUAACACGUAGCAUGGAAGCCGAUACAACAGCACAGGUACUCACAGGACCAACGGACAUGGGGACAAUAACACGUAGCAUGGAAGCCGAUACAACAGCACAGGUACUCACAGGACCAACGGACAUGGGGACAAUAACACGUAGCAUGGAAGCCAAUACAAC
Molecule: long non-coding RNA, 921 nt
Organism: Oncorhynchus keta (chum salmon)
Lineage: Eukaryota; Metazoa; Chordata; Actinopteri; Salmoniformes; Salmonidae
Exons: 3
Source: RefSeq, a predicted model, not a curated record